This 446-nucleotide ribosomal RNA is filed under the name uncultured bacterium. RNAcentral describes it as "SSU rRNA". It matches the Rfam family "Bacterial small subunit ribosomal RNA", at positions 26 to 518 of the family's 1533-position model. The record is from RNAcentral.
AGAAUGAACGCUGGCGGCAUGCCUAACACAUGCAAGUCGAACGAAGCCUUCGGGCUUAGUGGCGCACGGGUGCGUAACGCGUGGGAAUCUACCCUUGGGUUCGGAAUAACAGUUAGAAAUGACUGCUAAUACCGAAUGAUGUCGUAAGACCAAAGAUUUAUCGCCCAGGGAUGAGCCCGCGUAGGAUUAGCUAGUUGGUGAGGUAAAAGCUCACCAAGGCGACGAUCCUUAGCUGGUCUGAGAGGAUGAUCAGCCACACUGGGACUGAGACACGGCCCAGACUCCUACGGGAGGCAGCAGUGGGGAAUAUUGGACAAUGGGCGAAAGCCUGAUCCAGCAAUGCCGCGUGAGUGAUGAAGGCCUUAGGGUUGUAAAGCUCUUUUACCCGGGAUGAUAAUGACAGUACCGGGAGAAUAAGCUCCGGCUAACUCCGCGCCAGCAGCCGC